RNAcentral lists this ribosomal RNA (550 nucleotides) under uncultured bacterium. RNAcentral describes it as "bacterial SSU rRNA". It matches the Rfam family "Bacterial small subunit ribosomal RNA", at positions 355 to 896 of the family's 1533-position model. The record is from RNAcentral.
UGGGGAAUCUUCCGCAAUGGACGGAAGUCUGACGGAGCAACGCCGCGUGAGUGAUGACGGCCUUCGGGUUGUAAAGCUCUGUUAAUCGGGACGAAAGGUCCUCUUGCGUAUAGUUAGAGGAAUUGACGGUACCGGAAUAGAAAGCCACGGUUAACUACGUGCCAGCAGCCGCGGUAAUACGUAGGUGGCAAGCGUUGUCCGGAAUUAUUGGGCGUAAAGCGCGCGCAGGCGGAUCAGUCAGUCUGUCUUAAAAGUUCGGGGCUUAACCCCGUGAUGGGAUGGAAACUGCUGAUCUAGAGUAUCGGAGAGGAAAGUGGAAUUCCUAGUGUAGCGGUGAAAUGCGUAGAUAUUAGGAAGAACACCAGUGGCGAAGGCGACUUUCUGGACGAGAACUGACGCUGAGGCGCGAAAGCCAGGGGAGCGAACGGGAUUAGAUACCCCGGUAGUCCUGGCCGUAAACGAUGGGUACUAGGUGUAGGAGGUAUCGACCCCUUCUGUGCCGGAGUUAACGCAAUAAGUACCCCGCCUGGGGAGUACGACCGCAAGGUUG